This is a long non-coding RNA of Hyaena hyaena (striped hyena), 727 nucleotides long. RefSeq lists it as uncharacterized. The record is from RefSeq and is a predicted model, not a curated record. Lineage: Eukaryota; Metazoa; Chordata; Mammalia; Carnivora; Hyaenidae. The transcript is spliced from 3 exons.
AGAGAGGGCUCAGAAACCAUAGAGUCUGCAGAUGGAAACAGGAUUUAGGAAACAUCCAGGAUUUGGAAGGGAUUGAUUCCCAGAAGUCAAAUUGCUGAGUCAAAGGAUAUGUGCUUUUAAAAUUUUAAUAUAUCGUGUCAGAUUCCUCUUCAAAAGGCUGGGUCAAACACUUUUCCACCAUGAUGUCUGGAAGUGCCUGCUUGUCUGUACCCUCAUCAGCCCUGUGGAUUUGUGCAAGCCAGAACAGGAACUAAUGCCAAGAGACUGAUGGAGUAACUAAGCUGUUAAUAAAUUCCAGUGCCACUGAAUAAUAAUACUUUGUAUUUAUAUAGCGUCUUUCUUGGAGGAGCUCAAAGUACUUUAUGGGCUCUGAAAGUUAAUCAAGUUGGGAAUUUUUCAAUCACUGUGGAAGUGAGAUCCAGAGCUCCAAACCCCCAAGCUGUAAAACUUGCUUUCCUUAUUUUAUGCAUGUGGACCCUGUUAGAUGGGGGACCUAAAGAAGCCUGAGGCUCUUUGGCCUUGGAGACAUUGUAACAUGAAGUGAACUGAAAUUCAUUUCUAGCCAGCUAGAAUAAGAUGAGCAUCCAAACAAUGUUUAAAAUAUUUUAACAAAAACAUUGAAAAACAUCAUAUGCAGCUGUCUGGCAUUACUUUGUCAUCAUGACAAUCGCUGAAAUAUAGUGAUCCCUGUGUUUGUGUUAGUUAUUAUAGGAAUAAUUGUGAGGAA